AGUGAACGCUGGCGGCGUGCUUAACACAUGCAAGUCGAACGAGGACGGAUUAUAGCUUGCUAUAAUUGUCAGCUAAGUGGCGCACGGGUGAGUAAUAUAUAGGUAACGUGCCCCAAAGAAGAGGAUAACAGAUGGAAACGUCUGCUAAGACUCUAUAUGCCUUUAUGACAAAAGUCAGCAAGGGAAUAUUAUAGCUUUGGGAUCGGCCUGUACAGUAUCAGUUAGUUGGUGAGGUAAUGGCUCACCAAGACAAUGACGCUUAACUGGUUUGAGAGGAUGAUCAGUCACACUGGAACUGAGACACGGUCCAGACUCUACGGGAGGCAGCAGUGGGAAUAUUGCACAAUGGACGAAAGUCUGAUGCAGCAACGCCGCGUGGAGGAUGACACAUUUCGGUGCGUAAACUCCUUUUAUAUAGGAAGAUAAUGACGGUACUAUAUGAAUAAGCACCGGCUAACUCCGUGCCAG
This 468-nucleotide ribosomal RNA is filed under the name uncultured bacterium. RNAcentral's name for it is "bacterial SSU rRNA". It matches the Rfam family "Bacterial small subunit ribosomal RNA", at positions 29 to 511 of the family's 1533-position model. The record is from RNAcentral.